UAGUGGCGGACGGGUGAGUAACGCGUGGGAAUCUGCCCUCAGGAGGGGGAUAACGGUUGGAAACGACCGCUAAUACCCCAUAUGCCGAGAGGUGAAACGAAAUUCGCCUGAGGAUGAGCCCGCGUCUGAUUAGCUAGUUGGUGGGGUAAAGGCCUACCAAGGCAUCGAUCAGUAGCUGGUCUGAGAGGAUGAUCAGCCACACUGGGACUGAGACACGGCCCAGACUCCUACGGGAGGCAGCAGUGGGGAAUUUUCCGCAAUGGGCGCAAGCCUGACGGAGCAACGCCGCGUGAGGGAUGAAGGCCUCUGGGCUGUAAACCUCUUCUCUCAAGGAAGAAGAACUGACGGUACUUGAGGAAUAAGCCACGGCUAA
Molecule: ribosomal RNA, 373 nt
Filed under: uncultured bacterium
Lineage: Bacteria
Description: bacterial SSU rRNA
Rfam family: Bacterial small subunit ribosomal RNA
Source: RNAcentral